AUAAAAUAUAAAAAUCCAGCCCAGUUCAUGACUCGUUUGGCAGCAACCCUGAGACACUUUACAGCCCUAGACCCUAAAAGGUCAAAAGGCCGUCUUAUUCUUAAUACACAUUUUAUUACCCAAUCUGCUCCCGACAUUAAAUAAAACUCCAAAAAUUAAAUUCCAGCCCUCAAACCCCACAACAAGAGUUAAUUAACCUCCCUUCAAGGUGUACAAUAAUAGAGUAGAGGCAGCCAAGUAGCAAUGUAUUUCUGAGUUGUAAUUCCUUGCCUCCACUGUGAGACAAACCCCAGCCACAUCUCCAGCACACAAGAACUCCAAACGCCUGAACCACAGCUUCCAGGGGUUCCUCCAGAACCUCCUCCCCCAGGAGCUUGCUACAAGUGCCAGAAAUCUGGCCACUGGGCCAAGGAAUGCCCACAGCCCAGGAUUCCUCCCAAGCUGUGUCCCAUCUGUGCAGGACCCCACUGAAAAUCAGACUGUUCAACUCACCUGGCAGCCACUUCCAGAGCCCCUGGAACUCUGGCCCAAGGCUCUCUGACUGACUCCUUCCCUGAUCUUCUCAGCUUAGCAGCUGAAGACUGACACUGCCUGAUUGCCUCAGAAGCCUACAGGACCAUCACAGAUGCUCUAGGUAACUCUCACAGUGGAAGGUAAGUCCGUCCCCUUCUUAAUCAAUACGGAGGCUACCCACUCCACAUUACCUUCUUUUCAAGGGCCUGUUUCCCUUGCCUCCAUAACUGUUGUAGGUAUUGGCGGCCAGGCUUCUAAACCUCUUAAAACUCCCCAACUUUGGUGCCAACUUAGACAAUACUCUUUUAAGCACUCCUUUUAAUUAUCCCCACCUGCCCAGUUCCCUUAUUAGGCCGAGACACUUCAACUAAAUUAUCUGCUUCCCUGACUAUUCCUGGGCUACAGCCACACCUCAUUGCUGCCUUUUCCCCCAGUUCAAAGCCUCCUUCACAUCAUCCCCUUCUAUCUCCCCACCUUAACCCAUAAGUAUAGGACACCUCUACUCCCUCCUUGGUGACAAAUGAUGCACCCCUUACCAUCCCAUUAAAACCUAAUCACCCUUACCCCACUCAAUACCAAUAUCCCAUCCCACACCAUGCUUUAAAAGGAUUAAAGACUGUUAUCACUCGCCUGCUACAGCAUGGCCUUUUAAAGCCUGUAAACUCCCCUUACAAUUCCCCUAUUUUACUGUUCUAAAUCCAGACAAGGCUUACAGGUUAGUUCAGGAUCUGCAACUUAUCAACCAAAUUGUUUUGCCUAUCCACCCAAUGGUGCCAAACCCAUAUACUCUCCUAUCCUCAAUACCUCCCUCCACAACCCAUUAUUCUGUUCUGGAUCUCAAACAUGCUUUCUUUACUAUUCCUUUGCACCCUUCAUCCCAGCCUCUCUUCGCUUUCACUUGGACUGACCCUGACACCCAUCAGGCUCAGCAAAUUACCUGGGCUGUACUGCCACAAGGCUUCACAGACAGCUCCCAUUACUUCAGUCAAGCCCAAAUUUCUUCCUUAUCUGUUACCUAUCUCAGCAUAAUUCUCAUAAAAACACACGUGCUCUCCCUGCCGAUCAUGUCCCACUGAUCUCUCAAACCCCAACACCUUCUAAAAAACAACAACUCCUUUCCUUCCUAGGCGUGGUUGGAUACUUUAGAUAUCUGGUUUUGCCAUCCUAACAAAACCAUUAUAUAAACUCACAAAAGGAAACCUAGCUGACCCCAUAGAUCCUAAUUCCUUUCCCCACUUCUCUUUCCAUUCCUUGAAGACAGCUUUAGAGACUGCCCCCACCCCAGCUCUCCCUGACUCAUCCCAACCCUUUUCAUUACCCACAGCCGAAGUGCAGGGCUAUGCAGUCAGAACUCUUACACAAGGACUGGGACCGUGCCCUGUAGCCUUUUUAUCCAAACAACUUGACCUUACUGUUUUAGCCUAGCCCUCAAGUCUGCGUGCGGCAGCCGCCGCUGCCCUAAUACUUUUAGAGUCCCUCAAAAUCACAAACUAUGCUCAACUCACUCUCUACAGUUCUCAUAACUUCCAAAAUCUGUUUUCUUCCUCACACCUCACACAUAUACUUUCUGCUCCCCGACUCCUUCAGCUGUACUCACUCUUUGUUGAGUCUCCCACAAUUACCAUUGUUCCUGGCCCAGACUUCAAUCCAGCCUCCCACAUUAUUCCUGAUACCACACCUGACCCUCCUGACUGUAUCUCUCUGAUACAUCUGACAUUCACCCCCAUUUUCCCAUAUUUCCUUCUUUCCUGUUCCUCACCCUGAUCACACUUGGUUUAUUGAUGGCAGUUCCACCAGGCCUAAUUGCCACACACCAGCAAAGGUAGGCUAUGCUAUAGUACAAGCCACUAGCCCGCCUCUUAUAACCUCUCAUUUCCUUUCCAUUGUGUAAAUCUAUCCUCAAGGAAAUAACUUCUCAGUGUUCUAUCUGCUAUUCUACUACUCUUCAGGGAUUAUUCAGGCCCCCUCCCUUCCCUACACAUCAAGCUCGGGGAUUUGCCCCUGCCCAGGACUGGCAAAUUAGCUUUACUCAACAUGCCCUGAGUCAGGAAACUAAAAUACCUCUUGGUCUAGGUAGACACUUUCACUGGAUAGGUAGAGGCCUUUCCCACAGGGUCUGAGAAGGCCACCACGGUCAUUUCUUCCCUUCUGUCAGACAUAAUUCCUCAGUUUGGCCUUCCCACCUCUAUACAGUCCGAUAGCAGACCGGCCUUUAUUAGUCAAAUCACCCAAGUAGUUUCUCAGGUUCUUAGUAUUCAGUAAACUAAUGGUCUUUUUAAAACACACCUCACCAUGCUCAGCCAUCAAUUAAAAGAGACUGGACAAUACUUUUACCACUUGCCCUUCUCAGAAUUCAGGCCUGUCCUCAGAAUGCUACAAGGUACAGCCCAUUUGAGCUCCUGUAUAGACGCUCCUUUUUAUUAGGCCCCAGUCUCAUUCCAGACACCAGACCAACUUGGACUGAGCCCCCCAAAAAAAAACUUGUCAUCCCUACUAUCUUCUGUCUAGUCAUACUCCUAUUCACCUUUCUCAACUACUCAUAAAUGCCCUGCUUUUGUUUACACUGCCGGUUUACACUGUUUCUCCAAGCCAUCACAGCUGGUAUCUCCUGGUGCUAUCCCCAAACCACCACUCUUAACUCCCUCUUAAAGUAAAUAAAUAAUCUUUGCUGGCAGGGCUAUGCUGAACCUCCUUAGACACUCUCUAAUUGGAUGUUCUAGGUCCUCCGAAUUCUUAGUCCUUUACUACCUGUUUUUCUCAUUGUCUUAUUCCGUUCUUUUUUCAAUUCAUACGAAACCAUAUCCAGGCCAUCACCAAUAAUUCUAUACAACAAAUGUUUCUUCUAACAACCCCACAAUAUCACCCCUUACCACAAAAUCUUCCUUCAGCUUAAUCUCUCCCAGUCUAGGUUCCCACACCACCCCUAAUCCCGCUCGAAGCAGCCCUGAGAAACAUCGCCUGUUAUCUCUCCAAAGCACCCCCAAAAAUUUUCGCCACCCCAACACUUCAACACUAUUUUAAUUUUUCUUAUUAAUAUAAGAAGACAGGAAUGUCAGGCCUCUGAGCCCCAGCUAAGCCAUCAUAUCCCCUGUGACCUGCACGUAUACAUGCAAAUGGCCUGAAGUAACUGAAGAAUCACAAAAGAAGUGAAAUUUAAAUGGCCUGUUCCUGCCUUAACUGAUGACAUUCCACCACAAAACAAGUGAAAAUGGCCAGUCCUUGCCUUAACUGAUGACAUUACCUUGUGAAAUUCCUUCUCCUGGCUCAUCCUGGCUCAAAAAGCUCCCCCAAUGACCACCUUGUGACCCCCACUCCUGCCCACCAGAGAACAACCCCUCUUUGACUGUAAUUUCCUUUACCUAUGCAAAUCUUAUAAAAUGGCCCCACCCCUGUCUCCCUUCACUGACACUCUUGUCGGACUCAGCCCGCCUGCACCCAGGUGAAAUAAACAGCCUUGUUGCUCACACAAAGCCUGUUCAGCGGUCUUUUCACGUGGACGCGAGUGAAAAAAAGAACUCUUUAAGAGAUUAAAAAAACAACUCUCAACUUUUAGUCUACUUCUUCACUAGGCUUUUCAAGAGUUAAAAAUAAAAGAGAAGGAAAGAAGAGAGAGAGGGAGAAAAGAGAUACAGGAGACCAUAUGUGGACCCCAAUAGAGCUUGCAAAUUUACUUUAUGGACCUUUACUGAAAAAGUUUGCCAACUCCUGACUCCUGGACCAACAUUUUCCUUUGAGCUUGCUGUCACUAUCCUGGUCAGUAUGAAUUCUAGUCCAAAAAGUGUCUCCUAUUUCAAAGCUUUGACCUGGAAGAGAGCGUCUGUUUUAUAGUAUAAGAGUUUCUGAUUUAUAGUAUGAGAGUUCUUAGGAUCCAUAUCUUACUGUGGUCUCCAUGAACCAACCAGCAAAUUAGAUCCUGAGAUCUAAUUUGAGUGCUAUUUGAGAUCCAGCUUUGAGUGCUAUUCUCAGAAAACUGCCAUACUUUCUAGUUGGUUUUCUUCCUCUGUAUUUGCAUAAUAGAAACACUUAGGGAGAAUCAAAAUGUAAGCUACUGCCUCCAUCUUCCCAAAAUGUCAACUUGAUGUCUUUCCUUUAAACUGAAGGAUGAAGAAGACUUGGAAAGAUGGGGAACAUUUCUGCAUUCUCAUUAUAUAAACUGGAAUGUAAUUUUUUUAAAGGAGCAAGUCUAUGUUCAAUAAAUGCUUAGUAGCUUGAUUUAUUGCUUCUUUCUCUCUCAUCUGCAAAUAUUCAAUUACUUUUUAAAUAUGUUAAUAAAACUGAGCAAAUAAUUACAUUUCAAUUUAUAUACCAAUCUACAGAACAAAGAAGUUCCCCUCAGAGAAAGUAGAGUACUUCUAAUGGGUUAAUUCUAUAUCUCCUUUGAUUAAUAAAGCAGCCCAUAGAGAGUUUACGGCCUUUUACUUUCUUUGUUUCAGAAUUACUUCCCAUGUAUGAAGCAUAAUGAGAACCUCCAUAAUUAAAUAUAUUCUAUGAGAAUUCAUCCACAAAUAACUCUUUAAAAUUUCAAGGAAAAUAUAUAAAAUAACUCUGAGGAGACCCCUGAGAACAAUCAAGAUCAGAAAGAAACUACUGGAAAGCAUUUAACUCUUUCUUGAAAGAACCAGAGAAUUAUGAUGGUUCAGAGAAGAGACCAUUACUUCCAGGGUGAUUGUCUAGAGAGAGUGGCAUUUUAGGCAGCUUUUGAAAAUGAAAAGCUUUGAAUUUUGAUUGUUUGACAUGUUUGUAUAGGACAUUCUAAUACAUAAGGUCAUGUUAAUAAAUGUUCACAAAUCAGAUAAAAGAACAGCUUGCAAGUUCAGACACUGUAUUUUAUACAAUUAUUCCUUGGCCAAGGCUUCUGCAAUUUGAUUUUAAAGUUUUAAGUUAAAAACAAUGAAUUUUAUAUUCAGUCACAACUAAACCUCAAUAUAUUAACAUUAUUAAAACCAAAGAAUCAAGUCUUAACCACCAGCAUAUCCAAGAAAUUCCUCCUGAUUUACUAUUUAGACAUAAAAAAGAAACAAAAGCAUACAAAGACAUGAAACUUACCCAGGCUACAAUUCAUGCACCACUUCUCAAGGGACAAGAAACUGAACUGUUAUUGAGCAUCUUCCAUUUUAUCAAGCUUACUGAGAAAGUAAUUAAUGUGUAUCAUUGUUUCAUGUAUGUCUACUCUAUGCAAAAAACUAUUCUAGAUACUGUAGAAAACGUUUCCCUUCUUGAAGUUUGCAUAGUAGUAAGGGAAACAUACAUGUUAGCUCAGGGAGGCAUGAAUGAGAUCUCUGCAUUUAUCAGUCCAAUGUCAUAAAUAUCCCUGGCUAUUCAGAAACAGAAAACAUUUUCUCUUCCCCCUGUCCGAUUUGCAUUCCUUUCUUCAGAAUUCCCAUAGUAGUACUGUUCAUCUAUUACGGCACUUCUUAAACUAUAUUAUAAUUAUAUAUUUGACUUGCUUUGAUAACAUAGCAAGAUAUUACAGGCAAAGAAUCAGCCAUCACCAUGUUUUGCCUCUCAGAACUUUGGAAGUACAUGAAUUCCAU
This 6047-nucleotide long non-coding RNA is filed under the name Homo sapiens (human). RNAcentral's name for it is "HSALNT0271243". The record is from RNAcentral. Lineage: Eukaryota; Metazoa; Chordata; Mammalia; Primates; Hominidae.